GUGGGGAAUAUUGGACAAUGGGGGGAACCCUGAUCCAGCCAUGCCGCGUGUGUGAAGAAGGCCUUUUGGUUGUAAAGCACUUUAAGCGAGGAGGAGGCUACCGAGAUUAAUACUCUUGGAUAGUGGACGUUACUCGCAGAAUAAGCACCGGCUAACUCUGUUCCAGCAGCCGCGGUAAUACAGAGGGUGCAAGCGUUAAUCGGAUUUACUGGGCGUAAAGCGCGCGUAGGUGGCCAAUUAAGUCAAAUGUGAAAUCCCCGAGCUUAACUUGGGACGUGCAUUCGAUACUGGUUGGCUAGAGUAUGGGAGAGGAUGGUAGAAUUCCAGGUGUAGCGGUGAAAUGCGUAGAGAUCUGGAGGAAUACCGAUGGCGAAGGCAGCCAUCUGGCCUAAUACUGACACUGAGGUGCGAAAGCAUGGGGAGCAAACAGGAUUAGAAACCCGUGUAGUCC
This 451-nucleotide ribosomal RNA is filed under the name uncultured bacterium. RNAcentral's name for it is "partial 16S ribosomal RNA". It matches the Rfam family "Bacterial small subunit ribosomal RNA", at positions 354 to 796 of the family's 1533-position model. The record is from RNAcentral.